This 313-nucleotide ribosomal RNA is filed under the name uncultured bacterium. RNAcentral describes it as "bacterial SSU rRNA". It matches the Rfam family "Bacterial small subunit ribosomal RNA", at positions 774 to 1083 of the family's 1533-position model. The record is from RNAcentral.
AGUCAAUAGAUACCCUGGUAGUCCACGCCGUAAACGAUGAGUACUAGGUGUAGGAGGUAUCGACUCCUUCUGUGCCGCAGUUAACACAAUAGGUACUCCGCCUGGGAAGUACGGUCGCAAGAUUAAAACUCAAAGGAAUUGACGGGGCCGGCACAAGCAGCGGAGCAUGUGGUUUAAUUUACGAAGCAACGCGAAGAACCUUACCUAGACUUGACAUCUCCUGAAUAGUGUAGAGAUACAUGAAGCCCUUCGGGUCGAGGAAGACAGGUGAUGCAUGGUUGUCGUCAGCUCGUGUCGUGAGAUGUUGGGUUAA